AUGUUUGUAUUUUUCAUCUUACUGAAAAUUCUGUUAGUCUUUGCUUCUAUGACAUUAAGGCAAGUUUUUCUUACCUUAAGCUUCUAUAACACUUGGUUAUUUUGCUUUUCUUCUUUUCUUUUCUUUUUUCUCUAUCAAAAUACAAAUGCCCUGAGGACUUGAAAUAGUCAUAGUAGCCAUAUAAUUUAACUGAACCACAAGCAUAUGAGAAAAAUAUGAAAAUUUCAAGAACAAAGACAGGUUAUCUAGGAUUAGAAUCAGAACUAAGGCUGGCAUAUAAACAACCCUGAGAGGGAUUGGUUUCUUAAAUGUUGCAUCCCAAGUGCCUCACUUGAUUGACUGUACUCCCUCAAUGUCUAGGACCAAGACACAAUAAUAAAAUUGAUAUGAAAGCAUUUGCAUCAAAUUUUAGAAAAAUCCCAAAUCUUAAAGCUCUAAAAAUUAAAAGAAGGUUAUCAUGGAAAGUAGCUCAUAUUUAGUGAAUAUCUUCCAUAUGCCAAUACUCUGGAACAUGUUACCCCAUUAGUUAUGUUUUAGUCUGGGCUGCUAGAGCAAAGUAGACCAGGUGUCUUAUAAACAACAGAAAUUUAUCUUUCAUAGUUCUGCAGGUUAGAAGUCUAAGAUCAGGGUGCCAGCGUGGCUGGGUUCUGUCAAGAGCCCUCUUCCAAGUUGCAGACUUCUCAUUGUAUCCUAAUAGGGAGGAAAGAGCAGAGAGAUUUCUUGAGUUUCUUUUAUAAGGCCACUAAUCCCAUUUGUGAAGAUUUCAUCCUCGUGACCUAAUCACUCCCUAAAGUCCCCACUUCCUAAUACCAUCAUAUUGGGAGUUAGGAUUUAACAUAUUGAUUUUAGGGUGACACAAAUAUUCAGCUCAUAGCAUCCCACCCCUACCCCCCAAAUUCAUGUUUUUCUCACAUGUAAAGUACCUUCAUUCCAUCCCAGUAGCCCCAAAGUCUUAACUUGUUUCAACAUCAACUUUGUAUAGUCUAAAAUUUCAUUUAAAUAAGAUAUGGGUGAGACUCAAAGUACAAUUCAUCCGGAGACAAAUUGCUCUCCAGC
This 1056-nucleotide long non-coding RNA is filed under the name Canis lupus familiaris (dog). RNAcentral's name for it is "lncRNA (ENSCAFG00040006352.1)". Lineage: Eukaryota; Metazoa; Chordata; Mammalia; Carnivora; Canidae. The record is from RNAcentral.